Pelobates cultripes (western spadefoot toad) is the source of this 370-nucleotide non-coding RNA. Lineage: Eukaryota; Metazoa; Chordata; Amphibia; Anura; Pelobatidae. The record is from the annotation of a GenBank genome assembly.
CUGCCAUUUAGGAGUUAAAUCCCUUUGUUUAUGAACCCUAGUCACACCUCCCUGUAUGUGACUUGCACAGCCUUCCAUAAACACUUCCUGUAAAGAGAGCCCUAUUUAGGCUUUCUUUAUUGCAAGUUCUGUUUAAUUAAAAUUUUCUUAUCCCCUGCUAUGUUAAUAGCUUGCUAGACCCUGCAAGAGCCUCCUGUAUGUGAUUAAAGUUCAAUUUAGAGAUUGAGAUACAAUUAUUUAAAGGACCACUAUAGUGCCAGGAAAACAUACUCGUUUUCCUGGCACUAUAGUGCCCUGAGGGUGCCCCCACCCUCAGGGUCCCCCUCCCGCCCGGCUCUGGAAGGGGGAAAUGGGUUAAACUUACCUUUUU